UGACCAUAGUUUAAUAAAUUCUAGUCCGUGAUUCUAGAGAUGAGGACUAAUAAUCUUCUGCUCACC
RNAcentral lists this transfer RNA (66 nucleotides) under Allobates gasconi. Its description in RNAcentral is "tRNA-His". The record is from RNAcentral. Lineage: Eukaryota; Metazoa; Chordata; Amphibia; Anura; Aromobatidae.